Molecule: transfer RNA, 72 nt
Filed under: Daphnia pulex (common water flea)
Lineage: Eukaryota; Metazoa; Arthropoda; Branchiopoda; Diplostraca; Daphniidae
Rfam family: tRNA
About the family: Transfer RNA (tRNA) molecules are approximately 80 nucleotides in length. Their secondary structure includes four short double-helical elements and three loops (D, anti-codon, and T loops).
Source: Rfam by way of RNAcentral
CAACACUUAGCUGAGAUGGUUUAGCGCUGAACUCGAGUUCAGAUGGUCUGGGUUCAAACCUCGGUGGGUUGA